Molecule: ribosomal RNA, 253 nt
Filed under: uncultured bacterium
Lineage: Bacteria
Description: partial 16S ribosomal RNA
Rfam family: Bacterial small subunit ribosomal RNA
Source: RNAcentral
UACGGGGGAGGCAAGCGUUGUUCGGAAUUACUGGGCGUAAAGGGCUCGUAGGCGGCCAACUAAGUCAGACGUGAAAUCCCCGGGCUUAACCUGGGAAUGGCAUUUGGGACUGCAAGGCUGGAGUGUGGCAGAGGAGACUGGAAUUCCUGGUGUAGCAGUGAAAUGCGUAGAUAUCAGGAGGAAUACCGAUGGCGAAGGCAGGUCUCUGGGCUAACACUGACGCUCAUGCACGAAAGCGUGGGGAGCAAACAGG